Triplophysa rosa is the source of this 635-nucleotide long non-coding RNA. RefSeq lists it as uncharacterized. The transcript is spliced from 3 exons. The record is from RefSeq and is a predicted model, not a curated record. NCBI's taxonomy places the organism in Eukaryota, Metazoa, Chordata, Actinopteri, Cypriniformes, Nemacheilidae.
ACAGUCUCACUCUGUUUCAACAGUUCGAGCACUGCUUCAAUGAACGCGCCAGUCUCCGUGUCACGCGUCUUAAAUCCUGCAGGAUUGCACCUCUAUCCGUGCCGUUGCCACGCAUGAGAAAAACCGCAUCUCACCAAAGAGGAAACGCACGCGUGCAUUUAACACAGAGACGCGCGUUGACUUGGCUGCUAUUUUCUCUUCCGUCUUUUCUGGGACCUCGAAUGUCAGUGGAAUAUUAAGCUGGAAAAUAUAAAGCAUCUGUUUUAACUCUUUUUUUGGUGUCGUGACGUGAAGGACGUUUCGCAACCGGCUGUAUGUUUGCUGUGCGUGGCUUACUGGAAUAUAAGCGAGUUUCAGGAGCGAAGGCGUCCCGUAUUCAACGAGCGGACAUUCCUCGCGCCAAGUGCGAGACACGGUCGGAUCUCCUUUGAAGUUCGUUGUGCGCGCGCUGAAGUAACCGUCGGACUACGCGCAGUGCGCUUACAGGUCUGAGGUCUUCUAGCCGUCUCUCAAACCUCCAGAUCAAGCUCCCAUAGUGAGAACCAGACGAUAGCAAGUCUUGAUCACAUCCUCAAAGUGAUUGGCAGGAACGUGGCAUCUGUGUUUCUUCUCUGAUAUUCAGAUGACAACGUGAC